CCUACGUGGUGCAGCAGUGAGGAAUAUUGGUCAAUGGGCGCGAGCCUGAACCAGCCAAGUAGCGUGAAGGAUGACUGCCCUACGGGUUGUAAACUUCUUUUAUAAAGGAAUAAAGUGAGGCACGUGUGCCUUUUUGUAUGUACUUUAUGAAUAAGGAUCUGCUAACUCCGUGCCAGCAGCCGCGGUAAUACGGAGGAUCCGAGCGUUAUCCGGAUUUAUUGGGUUUAAAGGGAGCGUAGAUGGGUUGUUAAGUCAGUUGUGAAAGUUUGCGGCUCAACCGUAAAAUUGCAAUUGAUACUGGCAGUCUUGAGUACAGUUGAGGUAGGCGGAAUUCGUGGUGUAGCGGUGAAAUGCUUAGAUAUCACGAAGAACUCCGAUUGCGAAGGCAGCUUACUAAACUGCCACUGACAUUGAUGCUCGAAAGUGUGGGUAUCAAACAGGAUUAGAUACCCCUGUAGUC
This 460-nucleotide ribosomal RNA is filed under the name uncultured bacterium. Its description in RNAcentral is "partial 16S ribosomal RNA". It matches the Rfam family "Bacterial small subunit ribosomal RNA", at positions 338 to 795 of the family's 1533-position model. The record is from RNAcentral.